GUCAAGCCAUGGAGCCUCGGAGAGCCGAGGAUCAAAACCGAGAAGCCAAGUCGGCUUCUAGGGCCACGUUAAGAGAGGGGGCUGCUCUGUUAAGCACAGAGACCAAACGUCUUGCACCUUUUAACAGGCUCGGGGCAGGAAGCAGGAGCCGGAAUCUGGGCCGGGAGACGAAGGGAUGGUCUAGGACCUGCUCCUGGAUGGUGGAUGCGUGAGAUCCAGGUUAGACUUCGUUCCUAACGUCAAGGCUCCCAGGCUCCACUUCCGGUUCCGAGGGGGCCGUCCCGUCACCCCCGGAAGUUCCUCCUCCACGCUUUAGGGCCGGGCCACUUCUUCUGCCACGUCUGCAUUUCGGGGACCCGGAUGCCGCGCAUGCGCCUCUUUCAUCUUCCCAUCAUGGCCGCCGCCUGUGCGCCUCUGCUGAGUCGUAUGUAUUUCCCUCCUGACAUUUUUUUUCAGAUGUUCCAGUCACUUUAUGGCCUCACCAACAGAAAUGAGAUUAAAAAGAAUUUGUCAAACUAUCUUUAAUAAUGCCCCUUCACUCUGCCUGUGACGUAUUAGUGACCUCUGAGCUAGAGUCUUGUAGUCACUUCCUGGUGACCCCUGACCCCGUUGAUUUCCGUCCGCUAGGUUGCUCUCACCCAUGGCGUUUGCUGGUUAUGAGAUUUGCGGAACGUGUGGUGGUGGUAAAGGGCACCAACUGUUGUCAACCUGCAUGUGGGGGUCUGAGGUCUGGCUCUACAGCUUGUAAAAUGGAAAUAAUAAUGCCCAGAGGAUGAAAUUAGGCCACAUAGGCCGCUUGGCAUCAUAGUAAGCACUCAGUAAAGGUCAAUUGUUAUUAACCAUUUUUAUACAGCGCCUUUGUUUAGGUGCAGAGCUUUAUCAGAGCCAAAAGAUCUCUGCGCUCUGUUGGAAAAGAUAGUUCCUGCAGUAAUUAUUAGUACCCCAUUUAAUGGCUAAGUAAUUAUAGCUAACAGUGCUAGGAUUUCUUUUUCAUAUAUGACUUCAUUUGAACUUUUCAGUACUAUUUGUUGAUUUCAUAAUUUUUCGAGCACUGCUGUUGAAACUGCCUUUGCAAAAUUACAACUGAGGAAAUUAUGAUAGUGGAAGAAAUCAGACUUAACCGACUCCAUCUUGCUUCUAACCUUUAAGCUGUCCUUAUUCAUUCCUGGGUGUAGGUGGAACUAACUUUGGGGAGGAAUUCAGUUUAUGGUUUGAAACAAAAUUGAUAAUAGCCCCUUCCCGAAAAGACCCCCUUCUUGCCUGGGGACCAGUCUGUCUUUACAGGACUAACAAAUUAGCUACAAGAUUACAAAUUACAGUUUAGGGGACAUGCAGCCUCUCGCUCCAAGAGUCUGAACCUCCCCAAAUUGCUUUUAGGAAUAACAUAACUAUUGUAAAACCUAAGAUUAGUGCUUGAGAUGUUUUGCAGACCCUGCACUCAUUGGAUCAGCUGACUACCUAGACCAGUAACCUGGCUCAAUCAGUUCUGCCAUUCCACCCAGGAACAGAAAACAGCAAGAAAACCUCACUUUGACUCCCUGUGAUUCCGUCUUCAACCUGACCAAUCAGCACUCCCCGCUUCCCAAGCUCCUACUCGCCAAAUUAUCUUUAAGAACUCUGAUCCUCAAAUGCUCAGGGAGACUAAU
RNAcentral lists this long non-coding RNA (1646 nucleotides) under Homo sapiens (human). RNAcentral's name for it is "lncAB77.1". Lineage: Eukaryota; Metazoa; Chordata; Mammalia; Primates; Hominidae. The record is from RNAcentral.